UCGGGAAUUUUGGGCAAUGGGGGAAACCCUGACCCAGCAACGCCGCGUGAAGGAUGAAGUAUUUCGGUAUGUAAACUUCGAAAGAAUAGGAAGAAUAAAUGACGGUACUAUUUAUAAGGUCCGGCUAACUACGUGCCAGCAGCCGCGGUAAUACGUAGGGACCAAGCGUUGUUCGGAUUUACUGAGCGUAAAGGGCGCGUAGGCGGCAUGACAAGUCACUUGUGAAAUCUCCGGGCUUAACUCGGAACGGUCAGAUGAUACUGCUUUGCUAGAGUGCAGAAGGGGCAAUCGGAAUUCUUGGUGUAGCGGUGAAAUGCGUAGAUAUCAAGAGGAACACCUGAGGUGAAGACGGGUUGCUGGGCUGACACUGACGCUGAGGCGCGAAAGCCAGGGGAGCAAACGGGAUU
This 407-nucleotide ribosomal RNA is filed under the name uncultured bacterium. RNAcentral's name for it is "bacterial SSU rRNA". It matches the Rfam family "Bacterial small subunit ribosomal RNA", at positions 355 to 779 of the family's 1533-position model. The record is from RNAcentral.